CAGCAGCCGCGGUAAUACGUAGGUGGCAAGCGUUGUCCGGAAUUAUUGGGCGUGAAGGGCUCGCAGGCGGUUUCUUAAGUCUGAUGUGAAAGCCCCCGGCUCAACCGGGGAGGGUCAUUGGAAACUGGGAAACUUGAGUGCAGAAGAGGAGAGUGGAAUUCCACGUGUAGCGGUGAAAUGCGUAGAGAUGUGGAGGAACACCAGUGGCGAAGGCGACUCUCUGGUCUGUAACUGACGCUGAGGAGCGAAAGCGUGGGGAGCGAACAGGAUUAGAGACCCGUGUAGUCCCUGUCUCUUAUAU
This 301-nucleotide ribosomal RNA is filed under the name uncultured bacterium. RNAcentral's name for it is "partial 16S ribosomal RNA". It matches the Rfam family "Bacterial small subunit ribosomal RNA", at positions 509 to 809 of the family's 1533-position model. The record is from RNAcentral.